CCUUCCCCAGGUUGGCUGAGGCUGCCUGGCCCUGGGGACCUCAGAAAGCCCCCCAGCACCUCCACUUCUAUAGUGGGGACCCCGAGUGGCCGAGCCGCUACAGGUGACCAGUUCAAAAAACUGUUCCUCUGGAGAAACUGUUCCGCAUCUUUUAGACACGCCUCAACCCCACACGAGUGGCCGCCAAGAGGGAGACAGACGUGAGAGUGGGAGCCGUCGCCCUG
RNAcentral lists this long non-coding RNA (224 nucleotides) under Sus scrofa (pig). RNAcentral describes it as "lncRNA (ENSSSCG00005002504.1)". The record is from RNAcentral. Lineage: Eukaryota; Metazoa; Chordata; Mammalia; Artiodactyla; Suidae.